This 31-nucleotide non-coding RNA is filed under the name Homo sapiens (human). Lineage: Eukaryota; Metazoa; Chordata; Mammalia; Primates; Hominidae. The record is from RNAcentral.
UAUCGACGAGUGCCGAGAGCUGAACCAGCGC